This 496-nucleotide ribosomal RNA is filed under the name uncultured bacterium. Its description in RNAcentral is "bacterial SSU rRNA". It matches the Rfam family "Bacterial small subunit ribosomal RNA", at positions 903 to 1397 of the family's 1533-position model. The record is from RNAcentral.
AAAUGAAUAGACGGGGACCCGCACAAGCAGCGGAGCAUGUGGUUUAAUUCGAAGCAACGCGAAGAACCUUACCAGGACUUGACAUCCCAUUGACCGGUAUAGAGAUAUACCUUCCCUUCGGGGCAAUGGAGACAGGUGGUGCAUGGUUGUCGUCAGCUCGUGUCGUGAGAUGUUGGGUUAAGUCCCGUAACGAGCGCAACCCCUAUUUUUAGUUGCCAUCAAGUAAUGUUGGGCACUCUAGAGAGACUGCCGGGGAUAACUCGGAGGAAGGUGGGGACGACGUCAAAUCAUCAUGCCCCUUAUGUCCUGGGCUACACACGUGCUACAAUGGCCGGAAACAAAGGGCAGCGAAACCGCAAGGUGGAGCCAAUCCCAUAAACCCGGUCCCAGUUCGGAUUGUGGGCUGCAACUCGCCCACAUGAAGUCGGAGUUGCUAGUAAUCGCGAAUCAGAACGUCGCGGUGAAUGCGUUCCCGGGUCUUGUACACACCGCCCGU